This 250-nucleotide ribosomal RNA is filed under the name uncultured prokaryote. RNAcentral describes it as "partial 16S ribosomal RNA". It matches the Rfam family "Bacterial small subunit ribosomal RNA", at positions 524 to 773 of the family's 1533-position model. The record is from RNAcentral.
UACGGAGGAUGCGAGCGUUAUCCGGAUUUUUUGGGUUUAAAGGGUGCGUAGGCGGACCAGUAAGUCAGCGGUGAAAUACCCCGGCUCAACCGGGGGGCUGCCGUUGAUACUGCUGGACUGGAGUACAGACGGCGCAGGCGGAAUGUGUCAUGUAGCGGUGAAAUGCAUAGAUAUGACACAGAACACCGUUCUCGAAGGCGGCUUGCGAGCAUGGUACUGACGCUGAGGCACGAAGGCGUGGGGAUCGAAC